RNAcentral lists this ribosomal RNA (240 nucleotides) under uncultured bacterium. RNAcentral's name for it is "partial 16S ribosomal RNA". It matches the Rfam family "Bacterial small subunit ribosomal RNA", at positions 15 to 244 of the family's 1533-position model. The record is from RNAcentral.
GAUCCUGGCUCAGGAUGAACGCUAGCUACAGGCUUAACACAUGCAAGUCGCGGGGGCAGCAUGAAGGAUGCUUGCAUUCUUUGAUGGCGACCGGCGCACGGGUGAGUAACGCGUAUCCAACCUGCCUGUUACCACGGCACAGCCCGUCGAAAGGCGGAUUAAUGCCGUAUGUGGUCCUUUGCGGGCAUCUAAUUAGGACUAAAGGUUUAGCGGUUAACAGAUGGGGAUGCGUCCGAUUAG